RNAcentral lists this unclassified non-coding RNA (345 nucleotides) under soil metagenome. RNAcentral's name for it is "partial contains 5.8S ribosomal RNA, internal transcribed spacer 2, and large subunit ribosomal RNA". The stretch from base 1 to 119 matches the Rfam family "5.8S ribosomal RNA", at positions 35 to 154 of the family's 154-position model. The record is from RNAcentral.
GAUGAAGAACGCAGCGAAAUGCGAUACGUAAUGUGAAUUGCAAAUUCAGUGAAUCAUCGAGUCUUUGAACGCACAUUGCGCCCCCUGGUAUUCCGGGGGGCAUGCCUGUCCGAGCGUCAUUGCUGCCCUCAAGCACGGCUUGUGUGUUGGGCCCCGUCCUCCGAUCCCGGGGGACGGGCCCGAAAGGCAGCGGCGGCACCGCGUCCGGUCCUCGAGCGUAUGGGGCUUUGUCACCCGCUCUGUAGGCCCGGCCGGCGCUUGCCGAUCAACCCAAAUUUUUAUCCAGGUUGACCUCGGAUCAGGUAGGGAUACCCGCUAAACUUAAGCAUAUCAAUAAGCGGAGGA